Gymnogyps californianus (California condor) is the source of this 533-nucleotide long non-coding RNA. RefSeq lists it as uncharacterized. The record is from RefSeq and is a predicted model, not a curated record. NCBI's taxonomy places the organism in Eukaryota, Metazoa, Chordata, Aves, Accipitriformes, Cathartidae. The transcript is spliced from 3 exons.
AAAAACCACAGUGUCAGAAGUCAGCAAUGGCUCAACUGGCUUCAGGGGAAGGAAAACUGUUGUUGAAGAGUGGCUGCUAAGGGAAAUGCUUGGCUUUGCAGUGUCCAGCUGUCAUGAGAUGUACCUUAUGGGUGACUUACUGAAAGAGGAGGAAGAAGGUCAGCAAGGAAGAAAAUGCAAUAAAAAAGGUUUCCAGCUACUUGCACACCUAUGUAGGUGUUCUACAGUGUUGGCCAGAAACAAGAAGCUUGCAGGGGUGGAGCAGAUGCUGAGGAGAACUUGGUUUAGAUAUUCCUUCAGAAUUUAUCAAAUAUGUAUUUUUCUAAAGAAUAUGCCAGAACAAUAGUAAUUGCCUGCUUACCUGUUACUUAUCACUAGCAGAACUGCUGAUUUUGGUUGAACGUAACUGGUGGUAGUUGGCUGGCAAAGGACUGUUAGGUUGGUGUUCAAAUAACAAACCUGCCUACCCAAUAUCAAAAGAUUAACAGGAUCAGAGCAUGUUGUGCAUUGUUAAUGCAUGAGAGAUGCUAAGC